GGGUCUCGAGGUGGACGUUGACCGUUUGUCCCAACGGGGACGGGCGGGUCCAAACAACGUGGCUGUGUAAUCAAACCCGUGACCUCACAGAAACGAGUCACCAGCGCUGACUGAGCCCAGGAAAUAAAACAGAGACACGAAGCAGGGCGAUUUCUGUCGUCAUCACGGUCGACCUCCGAGUUCUUCUUCUGCGCGCGUGACGCUUUAAAGCUCCAGUCAGCUGCUCACCUGCGUGGAAAUGACGGAUUUCUGUUGCCGCGUUGGAACCAGUUUGUAAGCGUGCUGCUUUCACUGUGUUCUGUCAGCACACGAGACGGCCCACUUGUUCCUCUUGAUCCGAUCGACGCUUCGGCCUUCAUCGGGUGGUAUCUGCUCGGGGAGCUUAGCUCAUGCGGGUUCACGCAGACGCUGUCUCUCCUCGUCUCCGUAAAUCAGGAUUACGGUGCCGUCACUUGCAAUUAUGACAACAAUCAACACCCGGGACGAACGCGUCUCCGUCCCUCCGGUCAAUCCAUCGGCUCCCUUCACACCUGCUCCUCUCACGUCACCCUCCUCCUCCUCCUCCUCCUCUUCCUCUGUCUGUCUCCUUGUCAACAAAAAGAUCUUCAGACGAGAUUCAGGAUGAUGGAGUCAGGAGAUCAACACACACACACACACACA
Long non-coding RNA from Gasterosteus aculeatus aculeatus (three-spined stickleback), 660 nucleotides. Lineage: Eukaryota; Metazoa; Chordata; Actinopteri; Perciformes; Gasterosteidae. The record is from Ensembl.